AAAGGUUAAGUAAAAUUAUUUUUGAUAUUUCAAAAAUUACUUGAUCGAGCAUGAUUUUUGUUGGAAAUUAAAUUGAGAAAAAGGGAAAAAUAAUUUCUGGAAAUCGUGUUCACAAGGAGCACGAUCUCUCGACUAGAGACAGCCCGUCUAUGCCCAACGACAGUCGUCGCACGCCUAUCGCUGGCAACGCUUGUGGUUGGCGCAACUGGGACAAGAAGGCUCGACGUCGCCGGGGUGGGGAGUUGCUGUGCGAUCCAGUGAAAUGGUGAGAUCGCGGCUCCGUUCGCGAUCCCGUCGGUGAUGGAGCUCUCGGUGCCGAUUCGGACCACCGGCGUGAGCGCAAGCGUCGCUGUCGUCGGAGAUCUGGGCUGGCGGCGGGAGCUAGUCGGGCGUUGUCGGUGGGCGGCUAAAGCUCGGCAUCACGCAGCAGGAGGUGGAGACCGAGAUGAGUCUCGGUUUUGCUCAUCGCAAUUUUUUCAAUCAUGCACUGCCGGUGAUGGAACGGGUUGGCCGUGGAAGCGCAAGCGUUGCGCGGUUGCUAGCGUCUCGGGCUGGCAUAAGCGGCUGCUGCAUGGUCAUUCGGCGACUGUGCAAGGACAACGUUCAGCGUUCGGCGGCGGCUAGGGUUGUUCUAGAGAAGAAGACGAAUUUGCAAGCCAAAUUAUGAUUUGGUCCCUGUACUUUUUAAAAAUUUUCAAAGUGGUCCUUUUGGGCAAAAAAUAAAUUUUAAAAAUUAUUUUCAGUCUUUAAAUUAAAUACCAUUUAAUUUAAAAUAGUUUUUAUUAAUUUGGGCCAUUUAAAUAUUUUGACAGUAAUUAAAAUUAAUUUUAAUAUAUUUUCUAAUUUGAUUAAAAUUAUGAAUAAAAUUGUUUUAUUCA
This 878-nucleotide long non-coding RNA is filed under the name Manihot esculenta (cassava). RNAcentral describes it as "long non-coding RNA (MESC_LNC007981)". Lineage: Eukaryota; Viridiplantae; Streptophyta; Magnoliopsida; Malpighiales; Euphorbiaceae. The record is from RNAcentral.